RNAcentral lists this transfer RNA (75 nucleotides) under Allobrachymonas sp. Its description in RNAcentral is "tRNA-Arg". It matches the Rfam family "tRNA". From Rfam's summary of the family: Transfer RNA (tRNA) molecules are approximately 80 nucleotides in length. Lineage: Bacteria; Pseudomonadati; Pseudomonadota; Betaproteobacteria; Burkholderiales; Comamonadaceae. The record is from RNAcentral.
GCCGCCGUAGUUCAAUGGAUAGAACGAGUGCCUCCUAAGCGCUAGAUACAGGUUCGAUUCCUGUCGGUGGUACCA